ACGAUCCUGAAGGCCUUGUACUAGUAAGUGACAUCUGUGCAGGCAGGCGAGUGGUCCCCUAUGCCACAGAAGUUCCAUUAGUGCUGGAUGAGUCCGGCCCCGGGUGACUUACUUUUACUUCAAGAUGCCUUGAUUUAUUGGUUUUGGUCCGGGAAGGAAGUUUUAUACUGUAGCACUUCCAUCCAAGUUCCGAUUUGGCUUCCUAAACUUAACUAGUUGGGCAUCUUCCGCCUGCUUUCCAUACUGUACAAUUAGAGAUAAAAGAGAGAAAGCAAGAAUACAGAUACGUGCCUGUGACAGGUGCAGCAGCUGUCACCUGUUAGCUCAAACUAGUACAGUUCACUUGGGACCGACCCUUUUUGGUGACUUACUUUAAAGGAUUUACAUUUAGUUAUAAAAGCCCCUUCCUGGGAGGUCACAGCCAUCUAUGUAAACAUUUCCUAAAAAAAAUAACUCCACCAUCACUCUUUGUCACAGAAAUACUGAAUUCUACUAACUGGAAAAAGGAAAGUUUCCAAAUAUGCAUGUGUGGCAAGGAAAUAGCUGAAGGUUUCAAAGUCUAUCUUAUGGCCAUGGUCUCAAAAAUAG
RNAcentral lists this long non-coding RNA (588 nucleotides) under Marmota monax (woodchuck). Lineage: Eukaryota; Metazoa; Chordata; Mammalia; Rodentia; Sciuridae. The record is from RNAcentral.